Molecule: long non-coding RNA, 135 nt
Organism: Myotis davidii
Lineage: Eukaryota; Metazoa; Chordata; Mammalia; Chiroptera; Vespertilionidae
Exons: 3
Source: RefSeq, a predicted model, not a curated record
AAGAAUCUCUACUGCCCUGGCUGGUUGCUCAGUGGUUAGAGUGCUGGCCUGUAGACCGAAGGGUCAUGGGGUCAAUUCCCCGUCAUGGACAUAUACCUUGGUUGCAGGUGCCCCAGCCCAGGCAGGGACACUUGC